UAAAAUUCAGAAUUGUGUCUAGUGCAGCACAUGAAUCUGCAGUGGGAUAAAAUUGAUACAGUUGAAUAAAUUACAAGAACUGAACUUUUGUGUGAGAUUUUUGAAACCUAGAUGCACCCUAGAAGAAGUUUGUGCUACCACUUUCUCUACAGUCUGAUAAAAUUCUAGCAACUGAACAUCAUUUUUAGCUACUAGAUGAAAUUUUCUACCUAAAUCCAUACAAUGGAAUUUAAUAUUUAGUUAUUAGAUGAAAUUUGGUAUCUAAAGCCCUACCCUACAUUAUUGACUGUACAACUGCCAGCUAUUUUACUUAUCUAGUUGCUAAACUUCAGAUUCAAUCUCUUUCAUUCAUUAUAGAAAUAUUAAAGACUUUUAGGCUGCAAGGCGCAACUAGUAAAAACCACUAUUGGCCUAAUGGUACAAGAAAAUUAUUAGAGAGUUGAAUAGUUAGAAUUUCUAAAAUUUUAUAUUUUGUAUAAAUGUCUUGAGACUUUCUGCCUGAUGGUGUUCAACUUGCAAUGCUAUUCGGUGCAUGUCUAGCUUUAAUUUCCUGAGGUGUGUUUGGCACUUAAAUAUAGUUUCAAAUACUCUCUUUUCUUAAUUGUUGAUCUAUAAAAAGAUUGCUCUUUCCUAUUCUUAGUUUCUUGCAAGGAAAACACUAUCAUUUGUCUUGGUUAAGUUAAAUCAUUUCCUGCUAAAAUCUGUUCUUAUAACAGAGUGGUUGGAGACUACAAGUUGGUGGGCUCUAGAAGCUGUUGUGGGAAGACCACAUAUGUUACAUUAACCGUGAAGGCUAACAUGGGGCACGUAGACAUGGUGUCCGCUAAAGGUGAGCUAGGAUUUUUGCCUUGAUCCCAUGAUCUUUGGGUGAUGGCAGCAGGUGGCUCGGCAUCGACGACAGAGGGGAUAUGGCCAAGGAGCUUGGUGCCCUCGCACUACUCCUCGCCCACGUCGUGCCCUUCUACCUCGAUUAUAUUGGGGGCACACGCUGCCCUUGGGGCUACAGAUCACAAGCGUGGGAGUAUACAUGCAUUAAUGUGUUUUCAUGAUGAGCAACAAGUGGAUCUUGAGGCUGCAGUGGAGGCAACCGCCUAGUUCUUUAACAAGUAAAUCGGGAACAAAUGAGGGAAAUUGAGAACCCUAUUGGUCAGACAAGUAAGAUUGAAGCAAGUUAGGUGAACCAUGUUAGAUGAACCUUGUGUAUUUUAUCUAAUGGUUUGAAACAUG
Long non-coding RNA from Lolium perenne, 1227 nucleotides. RefSeq lists it as uncharacterized. The record is from RefSeq and is a predicted model, not a curated record. NCBI's taxonomy places the organism in Eukaryota, Viridiplantae, Streptophyta, Magnoliopsida, Poales, Poaceae.